This is a non-coding RNA of Phascolarctos cinereus (koala), 264 nucleotides long. The record is from RefSeq and is a predicted model, not a curated record. Lineage: Eukaryota; Metazoa; Chordata; Mammalia; Diprotodontia; Phascolarctidae.
CAACUGUUGCUGAGGAUCCAUAUUUCGCUCCUGUUCCUAUCCCAAUGGUCCUCUGUGGUCAAUCUUCUUUCUCCAGUGUUCACGGAAUGUUCCUCAAAGGGCCACAGUUUCCUGUGAUAGACAUAGGUUGGAUUCUACUUCAUGCAAUACUGUGAACCUAGAAGAGGGAGAUGGACCUUCUUCCCAAUCUGACCUCUGGCAGCAAAGCUUCUAAGGUAGACAGGUAUCAUUUUCACCUGGAAAGAUUUACAUGAACUGAUGCAA